UUAAGUAUUUGGAUCAUUUAGAUUUUAUUUAAAUACUCGUUUUUUAAAAUAUAUGUAAUCCGAUUUAUUAGAAUAUAUAUAAAUCUGUUCAAUUUAAAAAGUAUUAGAUUUAAUCAGUUAAAAUGUAUGAAUAUGAAUUAAAUAAAUCUAGCCGUGAAACAAACCGGAUAAAUUCUAUGAGAUUGGUUUACAUACAAAUUUCAGGAAACUGACUUUAGUAGAAGCGGAAAUGACGUCUAUUCACACUCCAGUCAGGAGGUGGCGCCAAAAUCAAAAAUAGACGCUACAGCACAUGGACUUCGCCAUUUUGCAUUGGACUGGAUCGUCAUCUCACUAGUCUACAAUCGCCAAAUUGUAGAUACAGCAUCAUUUCAUCGUCUAUAUGGUGGGACAACCUGCUAGACAGGUUGAAGACAUCUGUAUCUACCUCAAAGAAGGCAUGGAGAGACACAUUAAAGAAUAUGUGGUAAGUGUAUGUCAACCUACUCUAUUUUUAUAUCUAUCUAUUUAUAUAUAUGUAUGUAUGUGUACGUGUAUGUAUGUGUGUGUAUAUAAAUAUCUUAUGGAUAACUAGAUGUUUAAACAAGGUGA
Molecule: non-coding RNA, 591 nt
Organism: Misgurnus anguillicaudatus (oriental weatherfish)
Lineage: Eukaryota; Metazoa; Chordata; Actinopteri; Cypriniformes; Cobitidae
Source: RefSeq, a predicted model, not a curated record